RNAcentral lists this ribosomal RNA (350 nucleotides) under uncultured bacterium. RNAcentral describes it as "bacterial SSU rRNA". It matches the Rfam family "Bacterial small subunit ribosomal RNA", at positions 917 to 1271 of the family's 1533-position model. The record is from RNAcentral.
GGGCCCGCACAAGCGGUGGAGCAUGUGGUUUAAUUCGAUGAUACGCGAGGAACCUUACCAGGGCUUAAAUGGAAAAUGACAGGGGCAGAGACGCCCCCUUCUUCGGACUCAUUACAAGGUGCUGCAUGGUUGUCGUCAGCUCGUGCCGUGAGGUGUCAGGUUAAGUCCUAUAACGAGCGCAACCCCUGUUGUUAGUUGCCAGCGAGUAAUGUCGGGAACUCUAGCAAGACUGCCAGUGCAAACUGUGAGGAAGGUGGGGAUGACGUCAAGUCAUCACGGCCCUUACAUCCUGGCCACACACGUGCUACAAUGGUAGUGACAGAGGCAGCCACUGGGUGACCAGGAGCGAA